AAAAUUGAAUAAGCAAAGCCGGAGACAGCAGGUGCUAAUUGCUUAAUAUCCUGCCGAGGUAGAAGUUCUAUUGCCGAAAGUUGCACGAAAAUUGUGUGUAACUGUGGCCGCAAUAGUCUUGAUACUAAACCCCGGCUGAGAUAGCUGGGGUUUAUUGUUAUGCCC
Nostoc sp. PCC 7524 is the source of this 165-nucleotide regulatory RNA element. It matches the Rfam family "Ribosomal protein L10 leader". Rfam says of the family: This family is a putative r-protein leader autoregulatory structure found in B. subtilis and other low-GC Gram-positive bacteria. It is located in the 5' untranslated regions of mRNAs encoding ribosomal proteins L10 and L12 (rplJ-rplL). NCBI's taxonomy places the organism in Bacteria, Bacillati, Cyanobacteriota, Cyanophyceae, Nostocales, Nostocaceae. The record is from Rfam.